RNAcentral lists this long non-coding RNA (540 nucleotides) under Homo sapiens (human). RNAcentral describes it as "HSALNT0318293". Lineage: Eukaryota; Metazoa; Chordata; Mammalia; Primates; Hominidae. The record is from RNAcentral.
UUCCGGGUGAUGUCAUACUACUUUUAUGACCUAGUUUCUAUUUUACGCAUGUGAUUUCUGUUUAAUUCUAUUGACUGAAGUUAGUCACCAAGUCCAGCUCACAUGAGAUGGGACAGGUUUGCACAAAGAGUCUCACACUGUCACCCAGGCUGGAGUGCAGUGGCGUGAUCUCGGCUCACUGCAACCUCCACCUCCUGGCUUCAAGUGAUUCUCCUGCCUCAGCCACCUGAGUAACUGGGACUACAGAAACCCUGUCUCCCCAGGAGAAAAAGUCCUCAUUGUUGCAAGAUCACUAAAAGAUUUACGGAAGAAAUGGGCUCUUUUGUUUUUGUUCUUCAUUCAUCUUCUUUCCUUAUGCCGAAAAAAAUAUAUUUGCAUUCUGAAAUCAACAGCAUCAGUCAAGUAUGCUUUUCAUAGACUAACCUCUAAAAAUUGUUUCUUUGAACCUUUUGGAGGCUUUGAUGGUAAAACUGAAAAGUCCCAAACUAUUUUCGUUCAUCCCACUUGGAAUACAUCACAAAUUAUGUUGCUGGAAUUAAU